RNAcentral lists this long non-coding RNA (252 nucleotides) under Physcomitrium patens. RNAcentral describes it as "long non-coding RNA (PPAT_LNC013727)". The record is from RNAcentral. Lineage: Eukaryota; Viridiplantae; Streptophyta; Bryopsida; Funariales; Funariaceae.
AUUACAAAGAAAUAAUAAGAAAUCUUAAAGAAAUAUUAUAAUGAUCACAAAUAUAUCUCAAAUACAUCUCAAUUCAAUCUUAAUUUAAUCCUAGUUAAAAUCCUAUUGGACUUCAUUCAAACUUUAGGCCAAAAACUAACUAAAUCUUAAAUCCUAAAUAAACUCAAAUAAAAUCCUAAAUCCUAAAUCAAACCCUAACUAAAUCCUAAAUCCUAAAUCAAAUCCUAAUCAAAUCCUAAACCAAAUCCUAAA